CCUACGGGAGGCAGCAGUAGGGAAUAUUGCUCAAUGGGGGAAACCCUGAAGCAGCAACGCCGCGUGGAGGAUGAAGGUUUUCGGAUUGUAAACUCCUUUUGUUAGAGAAGAUAAUGACGGUAUCUAACGAAUAAGCACCGGCUAACUCCGUGCCAGCAGCCGCGGUCAUACGGAGGGUGCAAGCGUUACUUGGAAUCACUGGGCGUAAAGAGCGCGUAGGCGGGAUAGCAAGUCAGAUGUGAAAUCCUAUGGCUUAACCAUAGAACUGCAUUUGAAACUGUUAUUCUAGAGUAUGGGAGAGGUAGGUGGAAUUCUUGGUGUAGGGGUAAAAUCCGUAGAGAUCAAGAGGAACACUCAUUGCGAAGGCGACCUGCUAGAACAUAACUGACGCUGAUGCGCGAAAGCGUGGGGAGCAAACAGGAUUAGAUACCCCAGUAGUC
Molecule: ribosomal RNA, 440 nt
Filed under: uncultured bacterium
Lineage: Bacteria
Description: partial 16S ribosomal RNA
Rfam family: Bacterial small subunit ribosomal RNA
Source: RNAcentral